This 73-nucleotide transfer RNA is filed under the name Myxococcales bacterium. RNAcentral describes it as "tRNA-Ala". It matches the Rfam family "tRNA". Rfam says of the family: Transfer RNA (tRNA) molecules are approximately 80 nucleotides in length. Their secondary structure includes four short double-helical elements and three loops (D, anti-codon, and T loops). Lineage: Bacteria; Pseudomonadati; Myxococcota; Myxococcia; Myxococcales. The record is from RNAcentral.
GGGGCCGUAGCUCAACUGGGAGAGCGCCUGCCUUGCAAGCAGGGGGUUGUCGGUUCGAUCCCGAUCGGCUCCA